CCUACGUGAGGCAGCAGUGAGGAAUAUUGGUCAAUGGGCUUACGCCUGAACCAGCCAAGUCGCGUGAGGGAAGACUGCCCUAUGGGUUGUAAACCUCUUUUGUCAGGGAGCAACGCCGGCUACGUGUAGCCGGACUGAGAGUACCUGAAGAAAAAGCAUCGGCUAACUCCGUGCCAGCAGCCGCGGUACUACGGAGGAUGCGAGCGUUAUCCGGAUUUAUUGGGUUUAAAGGGUGCGUAGGCGGAAUGCCAAGUCAGCGGUAAAAUCGCGGGGCUCAACCUCGCUCCGCCGUUGAAACUGGCGUUCUUGAGUGGGCGAGAAGUAUGCGGAAUGCGGGGUGUAGCGGUGAAAUGCAUAGAUAUCACGCAGAACUCCGAUUGCGAAGGCAGCAUACCGGCGCCCAACUGACGCUGAAGCACGAAAGCGUGGGUAUCGAACAGGAUUAGAUACCCCUGUAGUC
This 460-nucleotide ribosomal RNA is filed under the name uncultured bacterium. Its description in RNAcentral is "partial 16S ribosomal RNA". It matches the Rfam family "Bacterial small subunit ribosomal RNA", at positions 338 to 795 of the family's 1533-position model. The record is from RNAcentral.